Molecule: ribosomal RNA, 253 nt
Filed under: uncultured microorganism
Description: partial 16S ribosomal RNA
Rfam family: Bacterial small subunit ribosomal RNA
Source: RNAcentral
UACGUAGGUCCCGAGCGUUGUCCGGAUUUAUUGGGCGUAAAGCGAGCGCAGGUGGUUUAUUAAGUCUGGUGUAAAAGGCAGUGGCUCAACCAUUGUAUGCAUUGGAAACUGGUAGACUUGAGUGCAGGAGAGGAGAGUGGAAUUCCAUGUGUAGCGGUGAAAUGCGUAGAUAUCGGGAGGAAGGCCGGUGGCGAAGGCGGCCCUCUGGGCCUGUAACUGACACUGAGGCUCGAAAGCGUGGGUAGCAAACAGG